UUAAAAAGUCCAUGGGGGUCCCCUC
This 25-nucleotide unclassified non-coding RNA is filed under the name Mus musculus (house mouse). RNAcentral describes it as "oocyte_clustered_small_RNA5585". The record is from RNAcentral. Lineage: Eukaryota; Metazoa; Chordata; Mammalia; Rodentia; Muridae.